Molecule: non-coding RNA, 279 nt
Organism: Paramuricea clavata
Lineage: Eukaryota; Metazoa; Cnidaria; Anthozoa; Malacalcyonacea; Plexauridae
Source: the annotation of a GenBank genome assembly
UAAACUAUAUAAUUUUAAAAAAUUGCAGCGUAUAAGGGACCAUUCAUCAUUUAUACCCCGGGUUGGUACCGGAGAGAUAUGGUUUGGGUAAUCACGUUUUUGACUAUAGCUGAUGGGUUGAGUAAAAAAAUUAUGGCUGUCUGUCAGCUAUAAAGUAAAACCAAAAUUACCAUGCAUUGGAAAAUAUGAAGAAAAAUGUAUACAAUACAUUCUGUACCAAAAUAGACCAUCAGUGAUUGAGGAAGGACUCUAUCAUUGAUUAGCAAACGUGAUUGCUUU